AUACGUAGGGGGCAAGCGUUAUCCGGAAUUACUGGGUGUAAAGGGAGAGUAGGCGGCAUGAUAAGUUAGAUGUGAAAGCCUUGGGCUUAACCUCGGAACUGCCUUUGAUACUGGGUGUCUAGAGUGUGGAAGAGGUAAGUGGAAUUCCGAGUGUAGAGGUGAAAUUCGUAGAUAUUCGGAGGAACACCAGUGGCGAAGGCGGCUUACUGGUCCAUUACCGACGCUGAGGUGCGAAAGCGUGGGGAGC
Molecule: ribosomal RNA, 247 nt
Filed under: uncultured bacterium
Lineage: Bacteria
Description: partial 16S ribosomal RNA
Rfam family: Bacterial small subunit ribosomal RNA
Source: RNAcentral